Molecule: long non-coding RNA, 1048 nt
Organism: Strigops habroptila (Kakapo)
Lineage: Eukaryota; Metazoa; Chordata; Aves; Psittaciformes; Psittacidae
Exons: 3
Source: RefSeq, a predicted model, not a curated record
GUAGCAUCACUGCAGAUCUCCUGCCACCCAGGCAGCUUGGAUUUCAGGAAGUCCGCACACUGCAUCCAAGUUUAAAAAGCUCAGCCUGAGACUUCUCUAAAGAAUCUAAUUUGCUUCUGUGUUCAGUUUGGUACCUUUUUAAAGUUGCCUGCAAUCAAAGCAUUCAAAACAUCUCAGUGCACUCAGCCCCGGAACUGGGUAAACUCUCUGUAUGCUGUACAUCAGGCAAAAGCCAUUUUGCGCUGGAAUCUCCUACUGCCACUGGUAAUCCACAGGCACUGGAUGUACUGGCUCACCCAUUUAAUUUCCUCUUUCAUGUUUUGAAUCAACAUUUUGAAAAGAACCCAUAGUAAGCACACUCUGACCUAUUAAGAUUUAAAUUACAGGUCAGAUCCUGCACUUUGAAUAAACAGAGUGCAUUUUUACAGUGAAUAUAUGGCAUGUUUUUUAUUGCUAGUUUAAGAUAACAGGUUAGCCACAUUUUGAUGGCCCUCCCAAGUAAGAUCUAUACAAGGAGACAAGUUUUUGUAGAAGACUAAUUCAGGAAAGGCAAAACAACCCUUAGCCUACAUGUAACAGAAUAGCUCUAAUAAAGACAGUGGGUUACUCUGGAUUAUUAACGGCAUAACCUAAGGUCAGGCUCUAGUGUUCAGUAAUUAUUAAUCUUGUAAAAAGGUACAGGAAACUACUUCAGGUGAAGACAUAUCUAUUUCUCACAUCUACUAAAACCAUUUUGCUCUGUUAUUAACGCUGCUCAUGAUGAGGUUUUAUACAUGAGAGCUCAUGCUAUACAAUAAGCAGGUAUUAACCUUGUCAUCGUUUAUUGGCAACGCCCUAUCAAACAGAAUGACACAACCAGAGCGCAUGAUAACAGGCCACUUCAGUCCAAUUUGUGGCAGACAUGCUGUAAACUUGAACCUGUUUUUUGGCAUCAUAUUAUGCAGCAAAUUAAUAACCCAAAACCACUGGUCUUGAUGAUAAAUAUAACUAUUAAAAUACCAGCAUUUCAAAGAUGUUUUUUCUGCUUUCCAUUCCUCCAUACCCUGAA